UGAUGUCGGUUCCUCCUCCUGUCUGCAGUGAAUCAGGAGGAUUUUACGACAUCACAGAGAAAGUCGGGUCUUUUUCACCCAGGAAGCUUCGGGCUGCAACUGUCCAUAAAAACAGCUUCCUGGUUUUGCAGGACCCAACAAAC
RNAcentral lists this small nucleolar RNA (143 nucleotides) under Monopterus albus (swamp eel). RNAcentral's name for it is "Small nucleolar RNA SNORA79 (ENSMALG00000000967.1)". It matches the Rfam family "Small nucleolar RNA SNORA79". From Rfam's summary of the family: ACA65 (SNORA79) is a member of the H/ACA class of snoRNAs that guide the sites of modification of uridines to pseudouridines. Lineage: Eukaryota; Metazoa; Chordata; Actinopteri; Synbranchiformes; Synbranchidae. The record is from RNAcentral.